This is an RNA transcript of Pomacea canaliculata, 1467 nucleotides long. It is a transcript of the gene named tankyrase-2-like, with no coding region annotated. The record is from RefSeq and is a predicted model, not a curated record. The transcript has 15 exons. NCBI's taxonomy places the organism in Eukaryota, Metazoa, Mollusca, Gastropoda, Architaenioglossa, Ampullariidae.
CGUGCGUCGCUAGGUGGCGCUGGCAUGCAGAUGCUAAUUUUGGUUCAGUGGCAGACGAUCACUCCAAGCUACGCAACGUGAACUGACAAUUACCUUUAUAGAUUAAAAAAUCAGACUAACACAUCAACAAGGGCAAUGUUGGAGGCGUUUUCGCUUGACGAGGCUGUGGAGGAUGUGGAUCCUGAUCGUGUACUAGAGAUGGUUUCAUCGUGCAGCAUUCAUAGCCAGGAGCCGCCGCUCAGUCCAGAGCAGGUGCGCACAGUCUUUCAUAAGGUAGUAGAUGGGUUGCUGCGUAAACCGAAGGAUGUUCAACGAGGUGCUCAGAUGGUGUAUCUCUUACGCAAUAUGGGUGCAUAUAUCAAUCAACAAGAUCAGGCAGGCUGCACACCUCUACUUCGUUAUCUGCAGAGGAACAUAGCACAUCAAGAUGUUGUGGAGGCAUUUCUGCGCUGCAAUGCGGAUGUUUACAUUACAGAUAAGGAUGGGGUGUACCCACUUGAAAUAGUUACCAGUUCUCCUUCAGUAUCACCAGCUGUACGAGAUGUCUUCAUGAAAUAUGUGCCAGGCAUUUGGGAGGCUGUUGAAGGGGAUGAUGCCAUGAACGUCAGGAAGCUGAUCAAUGAGUGGUGCCGAGUUGAUGUCCAGAAGAAUGGACAAACACUGCUACAGCUUGCUCUUGACACUGGCACAGAGAGUAUUAUCAGAGUUGUCAGUGGCAUCCGACCAUCCAUGGAAUUUGCGCAUUGUGUGCUAUCAGGAGAUGUGGCAACUGCUAAGAAAAUGCUUCGCCUUUCCCAAAAAUUGAAGAUAAAUAUUAACUUCAGAAACAUGGGAGACAGGGGGUCCACACCGCUGUAUUAUGCACUUCGCCAAGGCAAUAGAGCAAUGGUGGAGAUGCUGCUUGAAUUUGGUGCACGCAUUGAUAUUACAAUGAAAGGUGAUGCAGAGUGUGACAUACCACUCUACAUAGCAGCACUUCAGGCAAGGCCUCCUAUUCCUGCUUCUCUGAUAAAAACUAUCACACCAAAUGGUCCUGUGACAGUUGAUUCUCUUUUCUACAAAGGUCAAAAUGUCCUAUUUCACUGUGUGAACAAUGACGUACACGAAACUGUGAUAGACUACAUUUUAUUCAAGGGCUCAGCCUACCUUGUCACUCAGCGAGUUGAGAACAAUCUGUGUGCACGAGACUAUGCAGAGCUUCAUGACUGCAAGAAAGUAGUGCAGGCCAUAGACUGUGCGGUAUUGAGGUGGAUGUUUCAAGAGUUGGCAUCAACAGAGAAAUUCUUAUCUUGCAGGGUUAUGAUCAUAUACCUACAGCAGUAAAGUGUUUGAAUGAAGAUUCUGAUGGAAUAAAUGAUCCAUUUUAUAAAUACCUCCCUUUGUAUCAAGAACAAAUAAUGCAGAUACAUGAAGCUGUUGAAAACUGUGAUGUAGAGACACUACGGCAAAUUUUAUACUUCCGUCACA